AUUGAACGCUGGCGGCAGGCCUAACACAUGCAAGUCGAACGGUAACAGGAAGCAGCUUGCUGCUUUGCUGACGAGUGGCGUACGGGUGAGUAAUGUCUGGGAAACUGCCUGAUGGAGGGGGAUAACUACUGGAAACGGUAUCUAAUACCGCAUAACGUCGCAAGCCCAAAGAGGGGGACCUUCGGGCCUCUUGCCAUCGGAUGUGCCCAGAUGGGAUUAGCUAGUAGGUGGGGUAACGGCUCACCUAGUCGACGAUCCCUAGCUGGUCUGAGAGUAUGACCAGCCACACUGGAACUGAGACACGGUCCAGACUCCUACGGGAGGCAGCAGUGGGGAAUAUUGCACAAUGGGCGCAAGCCUGAUGCAGCCAUGCCGCGUGUAUGAAGAAGGCCUUCGGGUUGUAAAGUACUUUCAGCGGGGAGGAAGGGAGUAAAGUUAAUACCUUUGCUCAUUGACGUUACCCGCAGAAGAAGCACCGGCUAACUCCGUG
Molecule: ribosomal RNA, 490 nt
Filed under: uncultured bacterium
Lineage: Bacteria
Description: partial 16S ribosomal RNA
Rfam family: Bacterial small subunit ribosomal RNA
Source: RNAcentral